RNAcentral lists this unclassified non-coding RNA (484 nucleotides) under Melitaea cinxia (Glanville fritillary). RNAcentral's name for it is "misc RNA ENSMCXG00005013636.1". Lineage: Eukaryota; Metazoa; Arthropoda; Insecta; Lepidoptera; Nymphalidae. The record is from RNAcentral.
UUAUUAUAUUUGUACACAAAAUCCAUUCGGUCCAUGUAGAUUCACCACCACUGCCAGCGCUACCACCACACACGGAAAACAAAAUAAUUUAUUGCUUUCUUCACAUCCACAAAAUCAAGAUGUUUUGAAACAUAGUUCAGAUUUUAAAACAGGUGUAAAAGAUUAGUUUUAGACUUUUAGUACUUUAUUUUUGAGUAAGUGCUAUUUCAGGACGUGAUGGCACCUUAGCUUUCAGUUCUGGGCAUAGGCCUCUUUCUCCAUUUAGGAAUAGGAUCAUUAUUUAUAUUUAUUAUUAAAUAUUGACUUGAAUUCGCAUUGACGCAUUGAGUUAUUUCUUAAUUACUUUUAAAAAUUAAAUUUUAUUUGGGUUUUGAACUUUUGAUCAUUUAUAGCAGUUUUGCCCCGCGUGGGCUAAAUAUUAAAUUAUAAUAUUUACGGAUAUUAUCUGUCAAAUUAGAGUCACCGCUGUUUUAUAGCGUGUUUA